AGGUUGAACUGGCGGAGGACAUUCACACAUUUCGUCACACAACGGUUUCCGACCGGCUUUCCCGGCCAUAAUUGACAUUAUGGUUGGGGGGGGGUGGGGUGGGGGGCGGCGGGAAAAUGGAUAAACUUAAACCUAACCCAACCCACCCUUGAAAUCGGUUUGGCCUUUCCCCACAAGGUUUUUUAAUUCUUUUGAAAAUUAUUCAACAAAGGCCUUUUUAUCUUUGGAUUUCGGUCGUACCCUAUCAGAGGAUAUAUAUAUAUUGCGAGAGACGUGUGUGGAUAUGCUUGUGAGUGUGUCACAUAUAUAUGCUGCUGGCAAAUUGGAAAUUUUAUAGGGCUCAGAUGUUUCUUGCAUAAUAUAAUUAAUAUAUAGACCUGAAAUCAGUUCGAGGUUCCCCC
RNAcentral lists this unclassified non-coding RNA (401 nucleotides) under Isospora sp. cs2. Its description in RNAcentral is "sequence contains ITS1, 5.8S rRNA gene, ITS2". The record is from RNAcentral. Lineage: Eukaryota; Apicomplexa; Conoidasida; Eucoccidiorida; Eimeriidae.